This 253-nucleotide ribosomal RNA is filed under the name uncultured bacterium. Its description in RNAcentral is "partial 16S ribosomal RNA". It matches the Rfam family "Bacterial small subunit ribosomal RNA", at positions 524 to 776 of the family's 1533-position model. The record is from RNAcentral.
UACAGAGGUCUCAAGCGUUGUUCGGAUUCAUUGGGCGUAAAGGGUGCGUAGGUGGCGGGGUAAGUCAGGUGUGAAAUCUCGGGGCUCAACCCCGAAACUGCAUUUGAUACUGCCUUGCUCGAGUACUGGAGAGGAGAUUGGAAUUUACGGUGUAGCAGUGAAAUGCGUAGAUAUUGGGAAGAACACCGGUGGCGAAGGCGACCAUCUGGACGACAACUGACGCUGAGGCGCGAAAGCGUGGGGAGCAAACAGG